This 782-nucleotide non-coding RNA is filed under the name Neohermes inexpectatus. The record is from RNAcentral. Lineage: Eukaryota; Metazoa; Arthropoda; Insecta; Megaloptera; Corydalidae.
UUUUGGCUAUAAAAUUUAUUAAUUUUAUAUUUUACAUGUAAAUUUUUGUAAGAUUUUAAUAUAUUUUUAAUAAAUAUCUUAGAUUUUUUAUUCGCAGUAUUUUAUUUUAUAAAUUAAAGAAAUUUAGAUUUAGUAAUAAAAUUAAAUAUAGGUUAAUUUUGUGCCAGCAUCCGCGGUUAUACAAAUUAUAUGAAUAAAUUUUAUUAUUUUGUAGUUAAAUGUUGAUUAUAAAUAAAAAAUUAAUUUUAAAGGUGAAAUUUAUUAAAAUAAUUAAAAUUUAUUGAUUUUUUUUUUGAAACUAUUAAAUUUUAUUAAUAAACUAGGAUUAGAUACCCUAUUAUUAAAAACUUAAAUUAAUAAAAAUUAGGUAGUAAUAGUUAUAGUCUUGAAACUUAAAAAAUUUGGCGGUAUUUUAGUCUAAUUAGAGGAAUCUGUUCCAUAAUCGAUAAUCCACGAUAAAUUUUACAUAAUUUUAUUUAAUUUGUAUAUCGUCGUUAUAAGAAAAUUUUAUAAGAAUAAAAAUUUUCUAAAAUUUUUAUUAAAAUUUAUUUCAGAUCAAGGUGCAAUUUAUAAUUAUGAGGAAAUGGAUUACAAUAAAUUUAUUUAAGUUGAAUAAUAAAAUGAAUUUUUUAUUUGAAAUUGGAUUUAAUAGUAAUUUAAAUUAUAUAAUUUUUUUGAUAUUAGCUCUAAAAUAUGUACAUAUCGCCCGUCACUCUCUUUAUUUAAAAAGAGAUAAGUCGUAACAAAGUAGAUGUACUGGAAAGUGUAUCUAGAAUGAAUUU